RNAcentral lists this transfer RNA (65 nucleotides) under Scolytinae sp. BMNH 1043104. RNAcentral's name for it is "tRNA-Leu". Lineage: Eukaryota; Metazoa; Arthropoda; Insecta; Coleoptera; Curculionidae. The record is from RNAcentral.
UCUAAUAUGGCAGAAUAGUGCAUUGGAUUUAAGCCCCAAUCAUAAAGAAUAAACUUUUUUUAGAA